This 424-nucleotide ribosomal RNA is filed under the name Verrucomicrobiota bacterium. Its description in RNAcentral is "Verrucomicrobia bacterium partial 16S ribosomal RNA". It matches the Rfam family "Bacterial small subunit ribosomal RNA", at positions 355 to 776 of the family's 1533-position model. The record is from RNAcentral. Lineage: Bacteria; Pseudomonadati; Verrucomicrobiota.
UGAGGAAUAUUGGUCAAUGGGCGAGAGCCUGAACCAGCCAAGUAGCGUGCAGGAUGACGGCCCUAUGGGUUGUAAACUGCUUUUAUGUGGGGAUAAAGUGCGUGACGUGUCAUGCAUUGCAGGUACCACAUGAAUAAGGACCGGCUAAUUCCGUGCCAGCAGCCGCGGUAAUACGGAAGGUCCAGGCGUUAUCCGGAUUUAUUGGGUUUAAAGGGAGCGUAGGCUGUUUGUUAAGCGUGUUGUGAAAUGUAAGAGCUCAACUUUUAGAUUGCAGCGCGAACUGGCAGACUUGAGUGCGCACAACGUAGGCGGAAUUCAUGGUGUAGCGGUGAAAUGCUUAGAUAUCAUGACGAACUCCGAUUGCGAAGGCAGCUUACGGGAGCGCAACUGACGCUAAAGCUCGAAGGUGCGGGUAUCGAACAGG